RNAcentral lists this ribosomal RNA (440 nucleotides) under uncultured bacterium. Its description in RNAcentral is "partial 16S ribosomal RNA". It matches the Rfam family "Bacterial small subunit ribosomal RNA", at positions 338 to 795 of the family's 1533-position model. The record is from RNAcentral.
CCUACGGGUGGCAGCAGUGGGGAAUAUUGCACAAUGGGGGAAACCCUGAUGCAGCGACGCCGCGUGAGUGAAGAAGUACUUCGGUAUGUAAAGCUCUAUCAGCGGGGAAGAUAAUGACGGUAACUGAAUAAGAAACCCCGGCUAACUUCGUGCCAGCAGCCGCGGUAAUACGUAGGGGGCAAGCGUUAUCCGGAUUUACUGGGUGUUAAGGGAGCGUAGGCGGCAGUGCAAGUCAGGAGUGAAAGGCGGGGGCUCAACCCCCGGACUGCUUUUGAAACUGUCCGGCUGGAGUGCAGGAGAGGUAAGCGGAAUUCCCAGUGUAGCGGUGAAAUGCGUAGAUAUUAGGAGGAACACCAGUGGCGAAGGCGGCUUACUGGACUGUAACUGACGUUGAGGCGCGAAAGCGUGGGGAGCAAACAGGAUUAGAUACCCGAGUAGUC